CAGUCGCCGGUAAUACGGAGGGUGCAAGCGUUAUCCGGAUUUAUUGGGUUUAAAGGGUCCGUAGGCGGAUCUGUAAGUCAGUGGUGAAAUCUCACAGCUUAACUGUGAAACUGCCAUUGAUACUGCAGGUCUUGAGUAAAUUUGAAGUGGCUGGAAUAAGUAGUGUAGCGGUGAAAUGCAUAGAUAUUACUUAGAACACCAAUUGCGAAGGCAGGUCACUAAGAUUUAACUGACGCUGAUGGACGAAAGCGUGGGGAGCGAACAGGAUUAGAUACCCGAGUAGUCCCUGUCUCUUAUACAC
This 301-nucleotide ribosomal RNA is filed under the name uncultured bacterium. RNAcentral's name for it is "partial 16S ribosomal RNA". It matches the Rfam family "Bacterial small subunit ribosomal RNA", at positions 512 to 809 of the family's 1533-position model. The record is from RNAcentral.